CACGUAGGGGGCGAGCGUUGUCCGGAUUUAUUGGGCGUAAAGAGCUCGUAGGUGGCUCGGUAAGUCGGGUGUGAAAUUUCGAGGCUCAACCUCGAAACGCCACCUGAUACUGCUGUGGCUUGAGUCCGGUAGGGGAGCGUGGAAUUCCUGGUGUAGCGGUGAAAUGCGCAGAUAUCAGGAGGAACACCAGCGGCGAAGGCGGCGCUCUGGGCCGGUACUGACACUGAGACGCGAAAGCGUGGGGAGCGAACAGG
Molecule: ribosomal RNA, 254 nt
Filed under: uncultured bacterium
Lineage: Bacteria
Description: partial 16S ribosomal RNA
Rfam family: Bacterial small subunit ribosomal RNA
Source: RNAcentral